CACACACUAUGCCAUAAAUAAGGAUGAGAGGAUCAGCCCUGAAGCUACCCUUCAGGCUAAAAUGUCCAUGCAGUUACAGAGAUGUGUACAAGGCAUGAAAAUUAAAAGUAGACUCCAACUUAUGUGCUUCUGCAAAGUCUGAUAAACAAGUUGUCAGCCAGUCACAGAGAUACAUGCAAUAUUCAUCCUUCUGAACUACAUUUCAAAGAGGCUCCUACAUCAGAUUAUAGAUGGCACUCUGAGCUGCUUGCUGUGAAUUACACACCUGGAGUACUGUUCCACUCUGAUAAGCUUCACCCUCUCCCCUUCUUUUCAGCUUUGUGGAAGAGGUACAGUUAAUCUAACUGAAUGAUUACAAGCGAUGCUUAUUAUUAGGCAGAUCUUGAUUUGCAAUGCACUGAGCCAUCUAUCUUUUGCUGCGGUUACAAGAACAACCUGCUAUGGAAUCUAUCACAGCCCAACAAUUCCACAACUGAUUUGCUGGCAGCUGAGCCCUGGGGCUUGGAAUGUAAAUAAGACUCAGAAUAAAAGUGAUGUGCACUGCAGCAGUCGACAGUGAGUGCAGGGAGAAGCUUUUCUAUGCCACUUUAAGAUGCGGGGAAAAAAUGAAGGAGGGAAAGAAAGAAGGAACUACUUCACUAUUUCUUUUUAGAUGUCUUAUUACUCACCACCACCUUGUGCAAGAAAUGAAAGCAAAAUGUUAUUUACAAAUUGCAGCUGGAAAUUGUCUAAAAGUAGCCAGUGUAGCUACACUGCACAAUAACUCACACAUCUCAAAUUUCUCAGUGCUUUCCUGGGUGCACACUAAAACUUAGAUACCAGUGUCUGAUCUCAUGCUUACAGACAUACCUGUCUGUGAAACAAAAUGACUUUAGCUAAGACUACCAGUUUCAUUUCACGAAUAGAAGAAACAAGUAAAGUUUAAAAUUGUUUCUGCAUUUGAUGGUGUUGUUGCUGCCUGAUAACUCAGUCUAUAGUCUGAUCUUGACUAAUAUCUACUGGUUAGAUGAUGAUGCUCAACAUUUCUGCCUGAAACACCACUGCAGUUGUAAGGUCUUUUAAUUGAUUUAUGAAUUAUGAACAGGAUUCAUCUCUUUUCACUUCUCUCUGUUCUUCAUUAUGUUACAUGGUGAUUCACUGCAUAUAUUUCCCAAGAGGUCUCUCAUCAUUUUUAGGGCUAGCUUUAAAGAUCAUUUUUUACACCUACAUUUUAUAUAUAGGUCCUGGUCACGGUGUUCUUUACAUGUGGUUGAACUCUCCAGAUUUCAUGGAACCCAUUGUUAGAUAAGUAGGUCUGUGAAAAGGAAUAAAAGACAAGGCUGGACCCGUAGCUGAAAUGCUAAAUAUAGUUGGAAAGGGAACCUUUACGCUGAAAAAGGUACAGACCCCAACUCAUUGUUUCAUUGUACCUCAUAUUAUCAUUUUGUAUCACUCGGUACAUAAUAUCAUCUUCUGACUUACUUACCAUAUUCAGAUCUCAUAUUUCACUUAGGCAAAUGGCUAUGACUUCGUGAGUGCAGAAAUAAGAUCCAGUUUGUUAAUAUUAUGUGAUAAAUCGAAAGGCAAAUAAAUGUCUUGGUUCUCUGA
Long non-coding RNA from Coturnix japonica (Japanese quail), 1587 nucleotides. RefSeq lists it as uncharacterized. Lineage: Eukaryota; Metazoa; Chordata; Aves; Galliformes; Phasianidae. The record is from RefSeq and is a predicted model, not a curated record.